CACCCUCCACCCACAUGCCCCCUCUGCCCUCCCCCACAACAAUUUUCUUUUAAUUGAUAGAUUACAGAGAGAAAUGUGAUGCUCUUGGUAAAGAGGGCUUCUAGAUUUGUGAGGAGGAGAAUGGAAAGGGAAUUAUGACAUUUUCUUUUGCCUAUCUGAUCAGUCUCCUGCCAGGGUAAAAGCUGAUUACCAAUACACAGAUGCCAUUUCUGUUGUUGGAGUUCGAAAACACCAAAGAGAAAAAGGAAUCAGAGUUUAAUUAUGAGAAUAAGGCUGUGCAAGUGGAAUCAAGAAACAACAACAACAACAACAACAACAACAACAAUAACAAUGACGACAAAGAAUUCAGUUUGCCAGUUGUGUAACAGAACACUGACAACUGGCUCAAUACUUUUUCCCCACAGAAUUGAAUUGGUGGGGCACUGAAUCGAUCCAUUUGUUUGAUAUUGUGUAGCUAUCUCAUCUUGCCACACAUUUUUCUCAAUGGGGAUAGUGAUGCCUCUCUAAGCAACCAGUUCAUUGCUUCACCGAGUAGUCCUACCCAGUGAUCCAGUUUGAUUCUCGCACCCGCCAACUCAUGCAGGUGAAUUUCAUCCUGUCUGUUCAGAAGUAUGUGAGGGCUUCACCCUUGCAACUCAGUCGAGUCUGCCUUCAAACAUGCUUUCUAACUUCAAACUCCAACUUCAACCUCUGGGAUGCAAAUGUGAAUAAAAGAAAAUGCAAUUUAGGUAGCUUCAGGGAAGCUACCAUAGAACACGUGUCCUCCUGACGCAGAGCAAAUCCAAUGCAUUCAGUGGUGUACUGUCCAAAUGAAAAGUCAUCCAUUUGGAAAUUCUACCAAACACAUUCUAGCUGAUGGUUUCUAAUUUUGCAUCUUGGUUAUUGACCAAAGAUUUGGAUCUUUUUUAUCUCAUUACAUGGGAAAACAAUGCAUCUCAACCUCAAGUCUUAAAAGUAACAAUAGCUAAUCUGCUUUUCCCAUUAUGUCAUCCAAAUAUAAAACUACUAGUAUUUUCCCAGUGAGAUUAUUAAGUAAUUAACAGACUAUAGGCUGGCUAACAGCAUGCUUACAGCUAAAUUCUACCGCAAGGACCACACUACUAAAGUCUUUUCAAAUUAAUCCUACCUACCAAACUCAGACAGUAAUAUGACAAAACCACUAAAAAAUCCAAAGCUAAUUAAAAAUAUAACGCCAAGCCAACAUCAUAACACAAACUUGUCAGACUCUCUGUGGUUGGAGCUUGGGUGACAAAUGAAGGCAUAGUGGUGGCCCUCCCUGGGUCAUGUGGCAAGGCUGAGAUUGUUUAUCCUUGCUCAGGUAGAGCUAGCUGCCCAUUACUCUGCCCAUUACCCUACCUCCACAUGCUUAUUGAGAUGUGUUUCACCAAGCCUCCAUCAAAGUCUAGAGGCAUGAUAUCUCACUGCUAUCCACACGUCUCAUGUCCCUCCCACAAACAGGUACACUGAAAAGAUUCAUUUGACAAAAUAUCUUAAUCCCUCACCCCUCAAAUAGCUGAACACCUACAAUACACAUCACCAUUUACAAUGGGAUGAAUAGAGUACCUAGAAAACAGCGACAAUCCUUCAUCCUGAUACUGAGAGGUCUCAUCUCCAGGGAUAGGAAGGUAAUUCACUGUCCAUAUUUACUUUCUUUCUAAGCUGCUUUAAAAAUGGUCCUACUAAAUAAUCAGGUGAUGAUCCAGAGCUCGACUGUGAGAUUUGAUAAUCACGCUGCUGACUUGGCACACACUUUACGCUCAGCCACCAGAGAUAACAGAGAAUCCUCUUGCCUCCCUGUUAUAUGUAAGUAGAUAUAACAAGUCACUGAAACUAGAACUACAAGUCUUUCAUUCGUGAGGCGUUAUACUCGUUUUCCUGGAAACUGCCCCUAGCAUUCUAAUGUCUAGUUUCUAGAGAUUUUGAAUUUAAAGAAGAAUCUAGUCCUAAAUCCAUGGUGGACUAGUAUCGUGGUCUAGGUUUAACAUACAAGUCUAGCCAGUAGGCUUCAUGAUAAAGUAAUAGCCAGGCACUCUACCUGGUAGGCUUUGGAAAACAGAGAGCUUGAGUCACUGUAAAGUCAUCAGCUUAAUUUUUAUAUGUGACACCUUGGGUGUUCAGAGUCCUUCAUAUUAUUGUUUUCCUCAUUUAUGAGGCUCAGAAAAGAUUCUUUCAAGGUUUCAUUUGUGUGUGUGCACAUGUGUAUGUAUGUAUGCGUGUUUUCAAGUGUUGUUGAGACUGCAAACAUGAAGCUCAACCACACUGGGAGCAUGAAAAGUGUGGGUUUCAGCUGGUGGGAAUGCUCCCAUCAGCCAUAUUAAUAGCAUGGCAUCAGCCAUUGGAGUAAAACUCCCAUAACCUUAUUAUACAACAAAAGGCCUUAAACUUAAAGAUGACCAGAGCAAAGCUCAAGUCUGGCUCUUUUGCAACUGGAAUAUAUCCAACAUCGACAGUGAGGGUGCAGUUAUCACCUGCUAUUUUUAUCACAGAUCUGCAUGACUUUCAUGUGCAUAUCUAUUAUUUAUCUGGUCAUAACUCAGUGAACAGAAUUCAAUAACUCAGCAGAUUAAAGGCUACAUGGAAUUACAUGCCAGCAGGUAAUUACAAGUAAUUAAUGCGUGGAUAGUGUUUACUACAAGUGGGUGAUUCUUCUGGUGAGCUGAAACACCAAGGAUGAUAUUUACAUUGUGAUGCUUAGGGACAGAGGAUGAAUGUAGAGGAUCAUAAGGAGGAGAGAUAGUCAUAACUGAUAUGGAAAUGUCUCCAAAUUAGGUGAGCUGUUCCCAGUCUUUAGGGCUCUUUCAAAGUGCCCCAGAGUGAAGCAUUACCCCAAGAAUCACGUUUUUGGGGGGUUAGUUAUUACAGAGUUAGGAGUUUUCUUUGUAUUUUUUAGUAAAUGUUUAUACUAAUAUAAAUUUUAAUAAAAUCAAUGAUGAUACUUCAAAUGAAAGCUAACAAGUCAGAAAAAAAGGAAAGGAAAAAAGAAC
Molecule: long non-coding RNA, 2984 nt
Organism: Heterocephalus glaber (naked mole-rat)
Lineage: Eukaryota; Metazoa; Chordata; Mammalia; Rodentia; Bathyergidae
Source: Ensembl